RNAcentral lists this ribosomal RNA (379 nucleotides) under uncultured bacterium. Its description in RNAcentral is "bacterial SSU rRNA". It matches the Rfam family "Bacterial small subunit ribosomal RNA", at positions 29 to 386 of the family's 1533-position model. The record is from RNAcentral.
AGCGAACGCUGGCGGCGUGCUUAACACAUGCAAGUCGAGCGAAGGUGUUUCAAGGGUAACCUUGAGAUACACUUAGCGGCGGACGGGUGAGUAAUACGUGGAUAACUUACCUCUAGGCCUGGGAUAACCCCGGGAAACUGGGGCUAAUACCUGAUAAGACCACAUUGUCUACGGACAAAGGGGUAAAAGGUGGCUGUGCAAACAGCUAUCGCCAAAGGAUAGGUUCACGUCCCAUCAGGCAGUGGUGAGGUAAUGGCUCACCAAACCAAAGACGGGUAGCCGGCCUUGGCGGGUGAACGGCCACACGGGGACUGAGACACGGCCCCGACUCCUACGGGAGGCAGCAGUGGGGAAUAUUGGGCAAUGGGCGCAAGCCUGA